UCCGGUGACCAUAGCAGAGGGGCCACACCCGUUCCCAUUCCGAACACGGCAGUUAAGCCCUCUGCGCCGAUGAUACUGGCGCCUUAACCGGGAAAGUAGGUCGUUGCCGGAU
RNAcentral lists this ribosomal RNA (112 nucleotides) under Planctomycetota bacterium. Lineage: Bacteria; Pseudomonadati; Planctomycetota. The record is from RNAcentral.